CUAGAGAGGAAAAUCAUUGAUUAAUUUAGAUUUGGAAGAAAUCUUAGAGAUUUAAACUAAAGAUUUAUAUUUAAUGGCUCCCUAAAAGGGAAAAUGCUCUGAGCUUCAAUAAUAGCUCUUCCUUUCUUAAUAUACAAUUCAAUAAUACAUAUUAAUGUUCUCAUUCAAGUUCCAGAAAGGUUUUAUUAAGGAAAAUUACCCACAGAAUUAUGGUUCCUUCAUGCAAUCUCAUAUCAGGUUUUUCCUAUGCUACACACAAAUACAAAACUGAGAUUAUUGAUAGGGCCAGGAUAUUCUCAGUCCAUCUACUUGUGAGAAAUUAACUUCUUUAUCCAAUGCUGAUUCAUCCCAAGCAGCUUGGAAUUCUCAAGUGAAUAAUCUCACAGUUACUUUACAAAUAUAUCUUCCUAGCUGCAACUGCCUCAU
This 426-nucleotide long non-coding RNA is filed under the name Bos taurus (domestic cattle). Its description in RNAcentral is "long non-coding RNA NONBTAT022478". Lineage: Eukaryota; Metazoa; Chordata; Mammalia; Artiodactyla; Bovidae. The record is from RNAcentral.